AUGGGAACGCGAAGAACCUUACCUAGACUUGACAUCUCCUGAAUAGUGUAGAGAUACAUGAAGCCCUUCGGGGCAGGAAGACAGGUGGUGCAUGGUUGUCGUCAGCUCGUGUCGUGAGAUGUUGGGUUAAGUCCCGCAACGAGCGCAACCCUUAUUACUAGUUGCUACCAUUAAGUUGAGCACUCUAGUGAGACUGCCCGGGUUAACCGGGAGGAAGGCGGGGAUGACGUCAAAUCAUCAUGCCCCUUAUGUCUAGGGCAACACACGUGCUACAAUGGUGAGUACAGAUAGAUGCUAUACCGCAAGGUGGAGCCAAACUCUAAAACUCAUCCCAGUUCGGAUUGUAGGCUGCAACUCGCCUACAUGAAGUUGGAGUUGCUAGUAAUCGCGAAUCAGAAUGUCGCGGUGAAUACGUUCCCGGGUCUUGUACACACCG
Molecule: ribosomal RNA, 436 nt
Filed under: uncultured bacterium
Lineage: Bacteria
Description: bacterial SSU rRNA
Rfam family: Bacterial small subunit ribosomal RNA
Source: RNAcentral